AAUCUAUGAUCGUUGUAAAAUGGUUCUGUGUUUACUUGUAUUACGACUAUUUUAUUAUUUUGCAUAAAGUAAUAUCGAAAAUAAAUAUGUUACUUUUGUGAUUGUGAUAUCGCAUAAUUAACGAGAGAGAAAUGAUAUUUAAUGAUUAUUCGAAUUCAUUAGUAAAAUAGCAUCGUAGAAAUGACUCCCAAACGCAAAACCACGAGUUCUGAAUCAACAUCAUCGUCGAGUUCUGGCUCUUCGUCGAGUAGUUCUUCAAGUUCUGGUAGUGAAUCAAGUUCAUCCGAUUCUGAAAACUCUAGCAGUUCGGCUAAUAGUCAGAAAGCAUCUGAUUCCGAAAGAUCCAAGAAGAAAGUACCGUUUCCACAGGCCAGACAUGUUAAAUCUAAAACUGAACCAACACCGACCACAACGGCAGAAAAUAAAAGCAAGGAGAGACCGCAACCUAAAUCUAGACCAGUAGUUUAUUCCUCAGAAUCCGAAGAGUCACCUAGCAAAUUGAAACCUGUGAAAAGGAAAUUACCUGCUAAACCUAAAGCUACAGCAACUGUAGCGCCAGUAGUUAAAGUUCAAAAAUCACCUAUCAAGCCAUCGUCUAACAUUACCCAACACAAAAAUGUUUUAGCCGUUAAACCGAAUACUAAACAAGUCAAGCUUUCAGGACCCUCGGGAACGAAUAUAAAAGUAUCGGAUAAAAAUACCAAAAUACCGUUGGAACCGUUGCAAAAAAAAUUUAAAAAAAAGAGUAUAUUUAGUCCUGAAAAUAGUAGUGAAAGCGACAACUCUUCUGCACCUAAAAUUAAUGCAAUUAAAGCGGCUAACAAUAACGUCAAAUGUAACAAAACUCAACCUAAGAUGAAACCUGCGGAGCCCAAAUUAAAAGCUGCUGUACCACCAAGACCCGCUCUAGCAGCUAAACCUCCGCAAAUUCAAAAAUCUGAUAGUUCUGCCAGUUCCAAGAGUUGUUCGGGUGGAUCAGGUUCCUCUGGUUCAACAGAUAGUAGCAGCGAUUCGGAUUCAUCGGAAAGUGCUACUAGUCCACAAUCUCAACCUAAAAAGAAAGAUAUUCCACCACCGGUAGCACAGAAUAUUGCAGCAAGUGUUCAACCUAAAAGACCAUCGGCAACGGUUGCACCGGUUAAACCUUUAAAAUGUACAAAGAGACAAGUAGGUAGAAUAAAAAGUGAAGACGAUGGAGAUGCGUCAGCCAGUGACAAGGAAAUAGAUGAAAACAUUGAUGUGAAUCCUUCUAAGGGAACGGUUAAAGGAAAACGGAAGUUGCAGACUCGUAAAGGAAGCAAGUUACUACAACUGCAAACGAAAGCUGCCAGCGAUUCGGAAUCUGACACAGUAUGGUUCUCAGGUAUGGAAACGGUAGAGCGUAAACGUAUCCUGCAAAUUCCACUGAUCCGGUGUGAUUUAUCGGGAGUAGCUGAAAGCAAGAGAAGUACGAGCAAGUCACCGGUUAAGCGUGCUGGUCCUAGUCAAGGCGCUAGACAUUCAACAUCCACAACGACCAAUAGAACAACGCAGAGCACUACUACUGGGUCUUCCAGUUCUGCUGCUAAUAGAACCGGACAAAACUCAUACAAUCGUACACGUACUACCAAGGAAAGAGAAUGUCCAUUGGCAGCAUGCUGCGACUCCCGUGGCCAUCUUUCUGGAAAACUUGACACACAUUUUACCUUGGAAGCGUGUCCCUUGUAUCACAACACUACGCCGCAAAAUUGCAUAGAAUUUUAUAAAGAAAGGAAAAAGAAGGAAGAUGAACGGAAGAAGUCGAUAGCGAAUCUUGCUAAAAAAUCACCCAAAGGUGGACAUCAGACUACGGAACAACGUAAUUAUCAACUCAAAGUUAGAGAGAUAAGAAACAAGUGGAAACCGCAUACGGGUGAAAAUAAUGGUAGCGAUAGCGGUAAUGAUCUUCCUGGAAAUGAAAAGGACAAACAACCGCGUUUGACCAAUCUCACUUCUGAUUACGAUUUGAAAUUAUUUAUGGAAGCUCAAGCGACGUCCAGCGAAAAAAUUGAAAAAGAAUUGAAAGAAUUGGACUACGACGGAGAUGGCAGAAACAGCGGUGGUACUCGAUGCAUCGAAAUGGGAAAAUGGGAAAUGGAAGUUUGGUAUCAAAGCCCGUAUCCGGAAGAAUUUAGUCGUGCACCGAAACUUUAUCUUUGCGAAUAUUGUCUGAGAUAUGCGAAGAGUCGUCAGGUGUUGAGAAGACACAGAGAAAAAUGUUUAUGGAGACAUCCACCUGGACACGAAGUAUACAGAAAAGAUAAGAUCGGUGUCUGGGAAGUGGAUGGCAAACGUUACAAACAAUAUUGUCAAAAUCUGUGUCUCCUAGCGAAGUUCUUCUUAGAUCAUAAAACUCUUUACUACGACGUGGAACCGUUCCUCUUCUACGUGAUGACCAUUAGCGAUUCUGAAGGAUGUCAUACGGUUGGUUACUUCAGUAAGGAAAAAAAUUCAUUCCUGAAUUACAACGUUUCCUGCAUUCUGACGUUGCCGCCAUAUCAAAGACAAGGUUAUGGUCGACUUCUAAUCGAUUUUAGUUAUCUGUUAACAAGGGUUGAGAAGAAGAUAGGUUCACCGGAAAAACCUUUAUCGGAUUUGGGUCUAAUAUCUUAUCGAAGUUAUUGGAAGGACGUUUUACUGCAGUACCUUUGUAAUUUUGGCGGAAAAGAACUUUCGGUUAAAGAUAUCAGCAAAGAAAUGGCAAUUGAUUCGUACGACAUCGUUAGUACAUUGCAAGCCCUUGGAAUGAUGAAAUAUUGGAAGGGCAAGCACAUUAUAUUGAAGAAACAAGAUGUGAUCGACGAUUAUAAGGAAAGGAUGAAACGACGAGGUCUCCUCUACAAGGAGAUUGAUCCAGAGUGCCUAAAAUGGAAUCCCUUCCAACCUCCCAAGACUCCUUCAACUUCGAACUAAAAGGGCUAAAGGAAAAAGAUCGAAAAGUGAUGAAGAGACCAAGAAAAGAAAUAAAGGAGAAAGGGAAAACGAAGGAGGAUAAGAAGAUGAAGAAGGUUGGAACUCUCUCCCUCUUAGAGAAGCCGUAAAGCAGAUUACACGCCUGUAACGAUCAGUAAGGGCCAUAGAAUCCUUCCUGGAACCCGUUCGUUCCACGUCGAACGGUCUUGGAACAAAACCGAUGAGGAACUCAAUGCUAAAGUUAACUCAGAAAAAUCUUUAAUGAGA
This 3198-nucleotide unclassified non-coding RNA is filed under the name Polistes canadensis. Its description in RNAcentral is "histone acetyltransferase KAT7, transcript variant X2". The record is from RNAcentral. Lineage: Eukaryota; Metazoa; Arthropoda; Insecta; Hymenoptera; Vespidae.